RNAcentral lists this ribosomal RNA (229 nucleotides) under uncultured bacterium. RNAcentral's name for it is "partial 16S ribosomal RNA". It matches the Rfam family "Bacterial small subunit ribosomal RNA", at positions 89 to 334 of the family's 1533-position model. The record is from RNAcentral.
UAUAGAGUGGCGCACGGGUGAGUAACACGUAGGUUAUCUACCUCUGAGUGGGGAAUAACAGUCGGAAACGACUGCUAAUACCGCAUAAUACCGAAAGGUCAAAGCUUUAGUGCUUGGAGAGGAGCCUGCGGCAGAUUAGCUAGUUGGUAAGGUAAUGGCUUACCAAGGCGACGAUCUGUAUCCGGUCUAAGAGGACGGUCGGACACACUGACACUGAAUAACGGGUCAG